RNAcentral lists this unclassified non-coding RNA (1187 nucleotides) under Hevea brasiliensis (rubber tree). The record is from RNAcentral. Lineage: Eukaryota; Viridiplantae; Streptophyta; Magnoliopsida; Malpighiales; Euphorbiaceae.
UUACUUCUCUCUCUAUAAUUCUCUAUUUCUUUCCGCUUCUCAUCCCUAUUUCUUCUAUUUUCUCAUCUCCUUUUCUUUCCCUAAAACAGAAACCCUAAUCUAAGGUUUUCUGUGACAAAUUGGUAUCAAAGCACUCUCCCUGGGUUGACUCCAAACACUCUUCCCUGUGUCGCAAGGAUGGCCAGAUCAGUAAUAGCGAGUCAGGAGGGAGUAAGGGUUGCAGAGCUGGAGGAACAGAUCCGGAAUAUGCAGCUAGAGCAGGCAAAGGGAAUGGACAAUCUCAUAUCUGAAUGGAAGCUGAGGUAAGGCAGAGUAUUAUGGACGCAAAGAAUGUUUUUCUUAAUGAAAUGCGAGCCUUAAUUGGGGAAAAUAGUGGAGCAAAAGACAAGAAUGUGAGUAUAGAUGAAGGAGAAACCUGGGAAGGUUAGGAGGAAAAGGAAUUUUAUCUAACCCUAACCCUAAGGAAGUUAAUAGUCAAAAAGAUCAAUUCAGUGCUGGAUCUUCAAUGAGUAGUGAGGAAUUUCAGAAGAUGUUGCCUAAGACUGAAUUAACUACAUGUGAUGGAGGAGAUCCUAGGGUUUAGCUUAGGAAAUGUGAAAAGCAUUUUGAGGUCCAUAAGGUGCCAAGAGAACAAAGGGUAGGAAUUGCUACUCUGUUUUUAGUUGAGAGGGUAGACUCUUGGUAUCAUAAUUGGAGUAAGGAAAAAAGUGGAGUUUCUUGGGAAGAAUUUGAGAAAGAAUUAUAUAUAAGGUUUGGGGAAGAAGGGCUUGAAGAUGUGGUUGGAGAAUUUAUGAGGAUUAGGCAAGAAGGAACUGUUAGAGAAUAUCAAGACAAAUUUGAGGAUUUAAGGAUUAGAAUGGAGAGGGUUAUGCCAGAUUUGGGUGAAUCCUAUUUUCUUUCAGGAUUUAUUGGGGGUUUGAAGGAUGAGGUGAGACUUAUGGUAAGAAUGAUGAAACCAACCACUCUUUCUCAAGCUAUUGAGGUUGCAAGAUUGCAAGAACAACUCAUAAAUUCUACCAAGAAACCCACUCCUUACUCUAGACUCUACCACGCUAAUGUCAGAUCUAACACUUUCUCACCUUCAGCACCUCUCACCUAUAAAUUUAAUCAACCUUGUCAAAGUUAUCCCUAUGCUCCCAAACCUCCAAUGAUAGACCAGAAUUCCAAUUCAAAACAAUCAAAUUCUG